CACAGACGCGCCUCACCGGGAGAAAAAAACACCGGGGACACAGCGGAGAGAUGGCGACCGGUGCGUUCACGGCCGCGGACACAAGACCCUGCUGCGCGACGGCAUACGCACGAGCAUAUUCCUCUGAGCCCCCCCACCCCGUGACGCACACUACUCCCUCACGAGGACCCCCUGAUUCCUGUUCAUGUGCAACAACACAACAACAAGGAUCCCCACAUCUAAUGUCCGCAGCACCGAGCUGUCCGAGGCUCCACAAACGAGACAUGAAUUACCUCCCCGCCGCGCGGGAGAUGGAGAGCCAUGUGUCCCGCGGACCCUCCGGGAGACUCACACCGGAGAGGGCUCGUGGAAGUUAACGUGACCGUAUCCACCUGUGACUGCGGCGAUGCCCGGGAGGUGGACUCCGAUCCUGUCAUAUUCACCUGAUUGUCCCUCAUUCCCUUCACCUGGUCCUCACGCCCUUCUCACCUGCAGCCCAUCCCCUCAUUAGUCCCUCACUAUUUAACUCCCUCACUUCCACUUGUCCUCUGCCAGAUUGUCUUGUGUGUCACCACCAAACUCUCCAGUGAAUUCCUAGUACUAGUUCUGAUCUGCCUGUUACGACCCUGUUUGCCUGUUCACCCGACUUGAGAUUUUUGCCUGCCCCUUUUUGGAUUUGUUGCCCUGUUUGACUGACCACCCGGUUUUGACCCUGCCUGAAAUACAGUAAACUGCCUCCUCCUGCAUUCCUGUGUUUGUUGUGCUUUUGGGUUCCAGUACCUGUAACCUUUACAGAUAUAAUGGUGAUAUUAAUCAUAUUUCUUUCUUAUUUAUAUUUAAAUAAAUGAAUAAAUAUAUAUGUAUAUAUCAUUUAACAUUUUGACAAAAUCAUAAGAGAGAGAUAGAUCAAAAUGUUGUCUGCAACAUGUUGUAUUCCCUGUAAAUUGUUGGUAUAAUGGUUGCAAUAAAAUGUUGACUUUUAUUUCAA
This is a long non-coding RNA of Pseudoliparis swirei, 967 nucleotides long. RefSeq lists it as uncharacterized. NCBI's taxonomy places the organism in Eukaryota, Metazoa, Chordata, Actinopteri, Perciformes, Liparidae. The transcript has 2 exons. The record is from RefSeq and is a predicted model, not a curated record.